AAGAUUGUAGUAAAUUAUUACAUUGCCUUGUCAAGACAAAGUUGCAGGUUAAUCCCCUGCCAAUUUUA
RNAcentral lists this transfer RNA (68 nucleotides) under Monopterus albus (swamp eel). Its description in RNAcentral is "tRNA-Asp". It matches the Rfam family "tRNA". Rfam says of the family: Transfer RNA (tRNA) molecules are approximately 80 nucleotides in length. Their secondary structure includes four short double-helical elements and three loops (D, anti-codon, and T loops). The record is from RNAcentral. Lineage: Eukaryota; Metazoa; Chordata; Actinopteri; Synbranchiformes; Synbranchidae.